This 334-nucleotide ribosomal RNA is filed under the name uncultured bacterium. RNAcentral's name for it is "bacterial SSU rRNA". It matches the Rfam family "Bacterial small subunit ribosomal RNA", at positions 568 to 898 of the family's 1533-position model. The record is from RNAcentral.
CGUGUAGGCGGUAAUGUAAGUCAGACGUGAAAUCCUUUGGCUCAACUGAAGAACUGCGUCUGAAACUGCAUGACUAGAGUGCAGAAGAGGGAAACGGAAUUCCAGGUGUAGAGGUGAAAUUCGUAGAUAUCUGGAGGAACACCGGUGGCGAAGGCGGUUUCCUGGUUCUGACACUGACGCUGAGGCGCGAAAGCGUGGGGAGCAAACAGGAUUAGAUACCCUGGUAGUCCACGCCGUAAACGGUGGGUACUGGGUGUGGGAGGUGUAAUGCCUUCUGUGCCGAAGCUAACGCGUUAAGUACCCCCGCCUGGGGGAGUACGGCCGCAAGGUUGAA